This 315-nucleotide ribosomal RNA is filed under the name uncultured bacterium. Its description in RNAcentral is "bacterial SSU rRNA". It matches the Rfam family "Bacterial small subunit ribosomal RNA", at positions 335 to 638 of the family's 1533-position model. The record is from RNAcentral.
ACUCCUACGGGAGGCAGCAGUGGGGAAUAUUGCACAAUGGGCGCAAGCCUGAUGCAGCCAUGCCGCGUGUAAUUGGAAGAAGGCCUUCGGGUUGUAAAGUUACUUUCAGCAAGUGAGGAAGGUGGGUAUGUUAAUAGCAUACUCAUUUGACGUUAGCUGCAGUAAGGCAAGCACCGGCUAACUCCGUGCCAGCAGCCGCGGUAAUACGGAGGGUGCGAGCGUUAAUCGGAAUUACUGGGCGUAAAGCGCAUGCAGGCGGCUUGUUAAGUCAGAUGUGAAAGCCCGGGGCUUAACCUCGGAAUAUGACAUUGAACG